GGGGUUGUGGCUCAGUGAUAGAGCGCUUGCUCUAUGCAUGAGGCACUGGGUUCGAUCCCCAGCACCACA
RNAcentral lists this transfer RNA (69 nucleotides) under Marmota monax (woodchuck). RNAcentral's name for it is "tRNA.Sup". It matches the Rfam family "tRNA". Rfam says of the family: Transfer RNA (tRNA) molecules are approximately 80 nucleotides in length. Their secondary structure includes four short double-helical elements and three loops (D, anti-codon, and T loops). The record is from RNAcentral. Lineage: Eukaryota; Metazoa; Chordata; Mammalia; Rodentia; Sciuridae.